RNAcentral lists this ribosomal RNA (428 nucleotides) under uncultured bacterium. RNAcentral describes it as "partial 16S ribosomal RNA". It matches the Rfam family "Bacterial small subunit ribosomal RNA", at positions 354 to 796 of the family's 1533-position model. The record is from RNAcentral.
GUGGGGAAUAUUGGGCAAUGGGCGCAAGCCUGACCCAGCAACGCCGCGUGAGGGAAGAAGGCUUUCGGGUUGUAAACCUCUGUCCUUGGUGACGAAACAAAUGACGGUAGCCAAGGAGGAAGCCCCGGCUAACUACGUGCCAGCAGCCGCGGUAAUACGUAGGGGGCGAGCGUUGUCCGGAAUUACUGGGCGUAAAGGGUGCGUAGGUGGCCUUUUAAGUUGGAUGUGAAAUACCCGGGCUUAACUUGGGGGGUGCAUCCAAAACUGGGAGGCUAGAGUGCAGGAGAGGAAAGCGGAAUUCCUAGUGUAGCGGUGAAAUGCGUAGAUAUUAGGAGGAACACCAGUGGCGAAGGCGGCUUUCUGAACUGUAACUGACACUGAGGCACGAAAGCGUGGGGAGCAAACAGGAUUAGAAACCCCUGUAGUCC